Molecule: ribosomal RNA, 648 nt
Filed under: Streptomyces sp. 3CM28
Lineage: Bacteria; Bacillati; Actinomycetota; Actinomycetes; Kitasatosporales; Streptomycetaceae
Description: bacterial SSU rRNA
Rfam family: Bacterial small subunit ribosomal RNA
Source: RNAcentral
CACGUGGGCAAUCUGCCCUGCACUCUGGGACAAGCCCUGGAAACGGGGUCUAAUACCGGAUAUGACCGUCUGCCGCAUGGUGGAUGGUGUAAAGCUCCGGCGGUGCAGGAUGAGCCCGCGGCCUAUCAGCUUGUUGGUGAGGUAGUGGCUCACCAAGGCGACGACGGGUAGCCGGCCUGAGAGGGCGACCGGCCACACUGGGACUGAGACACGGCCCAGACUCCUACGGGAGGCAGCAGUGGGGAAUAUUGCACAAUGGGCGAAAGCCUGAUGCAGCGACGCCGCGUGAGGGAUGACGGCCUUCGGGUUGUAAACCUCUUUCAGCAGGGAAGAAGCGAAAGUGACGGUACCUGCAGAAGAAGCGCCGGCUAACUACGUGCCAGCAGCCGCGGUAAUACGUAGGGCGCAAGCGUUGUCCGGAAUUAUUGGGCGUAAAGAGCUCGUAGGCGGCUUGUCACGUCGGUUGUGAAAGCCCGGGGCUUAACCCCGGGUCUGCAGUCGAUACGGGCAGGCUAGAGUUCGGUAGGGGAGAUCGGAAUUCCUGGUGUAGCGGUGAAAUGCGCAGAUAUCAGGAGGAACACCGGUGGCGAAGGCGGAUCUCUGGGCCGAUACUGACGCUGAGGAGCGAAAGCGUGGGGAGCGAACAGG